GCUCAAUGGUAGAGUGCUUGCCUUGCAUGCAUGAGGCCCUGGGUUCAAUUUCUCAG
RNAcentral lists this transfer RNA (56 nucleotides) under Dipodomys ordii (Ord's kangaroo rat). It matches the Rfam family "tRNA", at positions 10 to 63 of the family's 71-position model. From Rfam's summary of the family: Transfer RNA (tRNA) molecules are approximately 80 nucleotides in length. Lineage: Eukaryota; Metazoa; Chordata; Mammalia; Rodentia; Heteromyidae. The record is from Rfam by way of RNAcentral.